Molecule: long non-coding RNA, 1715 nt
Organism: Elaeis guineensis (African oil palm)
Lineage: Eukaryota; Viridiplantae; Streptophyta; Magnoliopsida; Arecales; Arecaceae
Source: RefSeq, a predicted model, not a curated record
AUUUUGAAUUUUUUUUUUGAUUUUGAUUCUAAUUGCGAAUCAGAUAUUUUUUAGAUCUAUUAUCAGAUUUAUAUUAAAAUAAAUAAAAACUAUCCUUAAAAAUACCCAAAUAAGAAAUACCCAUCCCCUGUUCCAUCCACAGAAAUUUACAUAACAUAUGCAAGGGCCCAUUUAGACAAAUCAUCAACAAGAUGAACUCUGAGCGAAUAAUUUUUAAAAAUCCAUCAUAUAAAACCCAUACAAAUAUAGGUUAUCAACGUAUGAAAUAAAUGCAUCGAUACAACAUUGAGUGAAUGCGGUAGAAAACCUCUAGAUACAAAAACAAACCAACGUCCCUGGUAAAAUAAUAACAACAAUAUAUCAAAUGAUUCAGCAGCAUUGUUUAUGACAUUUUGAAGGUAUAAUCUCUUGUAUUUCGCAGAAAUCAAUCAUGCCACAGAAUGUUACCACAAAUGAUGGUUUAAAAGGUAACUUGUCAAUGAUCAAUGCAGUAGAAAACCCCUUAACCAAAAGCGAGAUCCUGCUUAAGCAUAGAUGUUUGAAUGACAUAGUUUAAAUCUAAUCAGUGGCGACGAUGUCGACCUGCGGGUUCUCCUCAUCCCUCUCCUUUUGGAUGAGUUGCGUAGCCUUCGGUCCAUGAUGCGAUCUGUGAGGAGAUGGAAGGAGGGAAUGGAGAUGGAGAAGGUAUUACCUUCCUCCGCUUCUGGUGAGUCGAUCCUGAGGAGAUGGAAGGGUUUCGAACGCGGAAGAACGGGAAGGGAGAAAGAGUGAGUGAGUGCUCAUGGUACCGGCGCGGGUUUUAUACGAGGCUUAGGUCGGCGCAACCGGGGGGGCAAAAUGGGAAAAAUAUUUUCAUCCUGGGUUGAACGCAGUGUGGUCGGUUUUGGCGUUCGUUCGCGGCUUAACGUCAAUGCGCUCCUCCCAACGGCAACGGUUGCAUGGUGAACGUCUAAUAUAAACUAUAAAGUGACGAGACUAUUUACAAAUUGUAGACUAUUAAGUUAUGGGACACCCUAGCAUCGGUUCACUGGUAAUCCCUCCCACCUCUAAACCAAAAGUCAAGGAUUUCAGCCUGAAGUGGUGUUGUCUCUAAGGAUUUCAGCCUUUGAGCUUUUGGUUUCUUUUGCAUUCUGCUCCUUUAUCAAAAAGAAGAAUAGUUUCUCUUAGUGUUUCCUUUUAUUGCAACUCUUUUUCCUGCUACGUCACAGAAAGUUUUAGCUGGAGCAUGAGGAUGGAGCUAGCUCUUCGAUUGGCGCGUGUGCUUACGUUUCUUCACUCUCAAAAGCAGCCUCUUACUCUUUUACCUCGAAGCCUCGCAGCACUUUGGUUGACGUGGCUCGACUUCAAUCUGUUAAUAUUUUGGUUUCAGUCUGGCCUCUCGUGGAGUUUUUGGUAUGCUUGAUGACGCAGUUGUGAAACUCAUACUUCCAAACCAUCCUCAGUUGUUUUUAGGAUCCAGAGGUCGUUUUGUCUGGUAAAAGAAGUACAGUGAGCUUGAAAUGGAUUGCUGAAUCUGGAAAGGACCGUGAUAACAAAUUAACACUAUUGUCCUCAGAGCAGCAGCUGCCUCGUAUAACAGAUCACAUAAAUGUUACAGGUUUGUCUAGAUAUUCCACUCGAGUUAUUAUGCAGUCUGUCAGCCUUCAAUGAAGCUGCAAGAGAACAACAGAAAGCCAUAACAGCUAUACAUCAUCUAACAGAAAGCUGUAACAGCU